ACCCUCCUAAUUCCUCACCCAUCAGACCUAAACCCCAGUCCGAGAGGUUCCAAAAGGAGAAAAUGUGAAAUUGAAACCGACGUGCAUUCUUUGGCGACACACAAGCUAGGUUCAAACAACA
RNAcentral lists this small nucleolar RNA (121 nucleotides) under Echinops telfairi (small Madagascar hedgehog). Its description in RNAcentral is "Small nucleolar RNA SNORA61 (ENSETEG00000025935.1)". The record is from RNAcentral. Lineage: Eukaryota; Metazoa; Chordata; Mammalia; Afrosoricida; Tenrecidae.